Molecule: long non-coding RNA, 649 nt
Organism: Fukomys damarensis (Damara mole-rat)
Lineage: Eukaryota; Metazoa; Chordata; Mammalia; Rodentia; Bathyergidae
Exons: 3
Source: RefSeq, a predicted model, not a curated record
UAGAGAGAAAGGUGCAGGAAACCACAGGAUCUAUCCCCUCCUUCUGAAACAUCGUGACCACACACCAUGCAGGCUGGAGGACCCCUCUUGAGGCCAGAAGGACCAAGGCCACAGGGUGGGGUUCCUUUCCUCUUGUCUUGGGGCAUCUGAGAUCCUUCCUGUCCUCAAGGCACAGAGACCUUUUCGGGGGGGAGAACUGCAUAAACACCCUGGUCUAAGUCAGGGUGGUGAGUGCAACAGAAGAAUUUAAAACUCAGUCCUGAGGGGAUAAAGGAGGCACCUUAUGCAGCUGAGCCCCGUGUGAGCAGGGCACCAAGACAGACUCUCUAAGGAGAGGCCUUCUGACCUGAGAGUUCAGGGAGCACUGGAGCGGAGGUGACAAAGAGAUAAACAACCAAACAUGUACGACUCUGAUGUUUUUGACACCAGUAAAGCAUGUCACUGAGGGAACAAGUACAUAAAAACUUCAGCUGCUGUGCUGCCAUCCGCUCCAGCAAGGAAGACCAACUCUUAAUGCCUACUUAAGAAAAUUAUUGGUGAACACAGAAAGAAAAAACAUCCCCACACCACAUAUGGCAAGUGGUAUCAGUCCUCUGAAAAUAAAUGUUGCUCAGAUACAAAGAGGUAACGACUGGUGAUCAUAUUUAAG